Molecule: small nuclear RNA, 127 nt
Filed under: Myotis brandtii (Brandt's bat)
Lineage: Eukaryota; Metazoa; Chordata; Mammalia; Chiroptera; Vespertilionidae
Description: U1 spliceosomal RNA
Rfam family: U1 spliceosomal RNA
About the family: U1 is a small nuclear RNA (snRNA) component of the spliceosome (involved in pre-mRNA splicing). Its 5' end forms complementary base pairs with the 5' splice junction, thus defining the 5' donor site of an intron.
Source: Rfam by way of RNAcentral
CUACUUACCUGGUAGAGGAGAUACCAUGAUCACGAAGGUGGUUUCCCAGGGCAAGGUUUACCCAUUGCUUUCCGGAUAUGCUGACCCCUGCAAUUUCCCCAAAUGUGGGAAACUUGACUGCUAAAAA